UCCNGAGCUAACUCNGAACNGCCUUCAUACUAUAAUCUNGAGUUCNGAAGAGUGAGUGGAUUCCUAGUGUAGAGUGAAUUCGUAGAUNUUAGGAAGAACAUCAGUGNCGANGGNACUCACUGGUCCGAUACUGACGCUGAGGUGNGAAAGCGUGGGAGCAAACAGGAUUAGAUACCCUGGUAGUCCACACCGUAAACGAUGAAUGCCAGACGUCAGCAAGCAUGCUUGUUGGUGUCACACCUAACGGAUUAAGCAUUCCGCCUGGGGAGUACGGUCGCAAGAUUAAACUCAAAGGAAUUGACGGGGACCCGCACAAGCGGUGGAGCAUGUGGUUUAAUUCGAUGAUACGCGAAGAACCUUACCAAUCCUUGAAAUCUAGCGAAGUUCGCAGAGAUGUGAAUGUGCCUUCGGGAACGCUAUGACAGGUGUUGCAUGGCNGUCGUCAGCUCGUGUCGUGAGAUGUAUGGUUAAGUCCAGUAACGAGCGCAACCCCUAUCNUUAUUUGCCAGCGCGUAAUGGCGGNAACUAUAGGGAGACUGCCGGGUGAAACCCGGAGGAAGGCGGGGACGAGGUCAAGUCAUCAUGGCCCUUAUGGAUUGGGCUACACACNUGCUACAAUGGGAAGUACAGAGGGACGCUAAAGCGCGAGCCGGAGCCAAACCCUUAAAGCUUUUCUUAGUCCGGAUUGGAGUCUGCAACUCGACUCCACGAAGUUGGAAUCACUAGUAAUCGCGAAUCAGAAUGUCGCGGUGAAUACGUUCUCGGGCNUUGUACACACCGCCCGUCACAUCA
This 792-nucleotide ribosomal RNA is filed under the name uncultured bacterium. RNAcentral's name for it is "SSU rRNA". It matches the Rfam family "Bacterial small subunit ribosomal RNA", at positions 601 to 1404 of the family's 1533-position model. The record is from RNAcentral.